Long non-coding RNA from Salvia splendens (bonfire salvia), 1396 nucleotides. RefSeq lists it as uncharacterized. The transcript has 5 exons. Lineage: Eukaryota; Viridiplantae; Streptophyta; Magnoliopsida; Lamiales; Lamiaceae. The record is from RefSeq and is a predicted model, not a curated record.
AUAAAAUCUGUAGGGCCACCUGAUAAAAAAUCCGAGUACCCAGAGGGCGAAAUGUUUGCUUCAACUACCUUGUCGUCAUCGUAUCAUUAUCAGUGGAACACCACUCCAGAACAAUCUCAAGGAACUAUGGGCUUUAUUUAAUUUCUCCUGUCCAGAGCUGCUAGGUGACAAAAAAGAGUAAUUGUUCAAGGAUAAAUAUGAGUACUUCAUCAGUUGGGGAAAUGAGAAAAAUGCUUCUGAUAGGGAAAAGCACAUUGGUUCAUCAGUUGCAAAGAAACUGAGAGAUUGCAUUCAGCCGUAUUUCUUGAGAAGAAUGAAAAGUGAAGUUUUUCGUGAUGAUGCCUCACUUUCCAACAAGAAUGAACUUAUUGUAUGGUUACGGUUGACACAAUGCCAGCGCCAACUUUAUGAAGCUUUCUUAAACAGUGAGAUUGUUCUCUCCUUGUGACGGCUCACCUCUUGCUGCACUUACGGUAAUAUCCAUCAUGUGUUUUCAAUUUCUGUUUAGAUGAGUUUUCAAUGGGCUUUGACAUACUCCCUCCGUCCCAACUAAGAUGAAACACUUUCCUUUUUAGUUUGUCCCAACUAAGAUGACACAUUUCUAUUUUUGGUAACUUUCUUUCUCCAAUUAAUACACCUAAUUACUUUUUUCUCACUCCAAUUAAAUAUUCAACUCUCUUUCUCUCUUCAUAUAAUACUUACACCCGUUAUUUCUCUCUCCAAUUAACUGCAGUAAGCCAGUAACCAAUAACUCUUAAAAUCCCGUGCCGACUAAGAAGUGUGUCAUCUUAGCCGGGACGGAUGGAGUAACAUUUUAUAUGUGCUUCAUCUUGCCAUGUUAUAAACUUGCGUUAACUAACUAAUUGUUCUUGAUUUCUAAUGCAUUGUGACUGAUACAUCUUUUAUUAAACUAAAAUCCUUUCAUGUUGCAAGAACACACAUUAUGUCAUUUGAACAUCCUUUAUAAGGAGUAUUUCACAAUUUUCCUUCUUCCAAAGUGUAAAAUUUUACUGCCAUUCACUGCAUAUGAAAUGUAAGUGAAAACUCCCAUGAUCUUUCUUUAUGUUGGCAUUGUCUUGUAUGCACUGUCAACACACUGCUGCGCUAAUAGCCCAUGCUCUGAUAUUUACCAUGAAUCUGCCAUUCAUUUGGUGUCCAUUGAAAGGUUCAUCCAUUUCAGAGUUGUUAAGUUUGAUAACACAUUGGCUUAAUUAAAAGCUAGCAUUCUAAUGAAACAAAUUAGACUAAUGCAUACGAGCAAUUAUCCCGGGAAGAUGCUUGGACAAGCUUAUUGACAAAAAGAGCAGAUUAUGUUUUGAGAAGCUUUAUUUUUUCAUUGAAUCAGAUCUUGAAAAAAAUAUGUGAUCAUCCACUUAUAUUGACAAAAAGAGCUGCU